GCUUCAGUUUCCUCCUUUAUAAAAUAGGAGUUAUAAAAUGAGAAUUAGAUGUGGUAUAUAUUACGUACAUGUAUCACUUUAAACACUAAGCCUCAGUUUGCUCAUCUGUACAAUGGGGAUUAUUAUCUCCACUCUCUCUAUCUGAUUUGAUCCUCACAGUUGUAGGAGGUGAAGUAAGUGAAGCUUCUUUGUGGGGCACUUUCCUUCAUGAUAAUGCCCAUCAUUAGUAGCCUCUAAUCAUGGUGUAGGGAAAGAACACAGGCUCUGUGUUCCAGAAAUCCUGAAUUCAAAUCCUAGUGAUAGAACUUACUAAUCAUGGAGGAAGUUAGCUAAUUCCAGAAUGUCUUUGAUCUUUAGUUUCCUCCUCUGUAAAUGGAAUCCUUCCUGGAAGAGUACCUGGAACAUGGCAGCACCUUUUCAGUCACCGUUUUGUGCCACUUAGGUGUUCGUGCUUUCCAGUAAUUGAGAGAAUGGAAGAGACAUAUGAGUGAGUUUUCCCUAUGGGACAGCAUAGCAAUUUCUCAUCCUACAGUUUACAAUUAGCGAAUGGCUUUACUUUAACAAAAUGACAGAAAAUGAGAGGGAAAGUAGUGUUUGAAUCCUUACACGCCUGUUCCCUCUGAUGUCGCAAUGUUGUCAAGAACUAUCUUUAUUUCCUGAUUGUCCCAGAGAAGAGAAACAUAAAAGCCUUAUUUAUGGUUACAAUUCUCAUUCCAGAGAGGAACAGUGGGUUCUUUCUCCAGUAGUUCUGUCCUUACUGGGGAGGAGCCCAGGGACAUAUUUCACAACUAAGUCAACUGCUUUUCUUCAAAUUCAGAUUUAAUCCUUGAGCAAAAUGAGUCACUAGCUCAUCCAAUUAAUAUCAUCACCCACUUUCCUAACAAAACUUCUCUUCAAAGAAGGACUCGUUCAUCCAUCAGAUGUGCCUGAAGCAGGCUGUAAGAAGACUUUGUUUCUUCCAUGACUCUGUGGAACAGAUCCCUAGGAACUAAAACCCAAAGUGAAAACAAGUAACAUAUCAAGCACUCAACAGCUCCUGACACGUCAAUUUGCCUCUUGUCUGGCCCUCCAUGUGGUGUGAAUGACAGCCCCUGCAAGUGGCAGAGUGAGGGGGACCUUCAAUACAUAUUGGUUGACUGAAGAAUGGAAAAGGUGAGCAAAGGUCACCUGUCUUGCCUCCUCCUUCAAGAUACGACUUUCCAUUCCAUGGAGUCACUCUGGCUAAUUCUUUGGUUUUGUCGUUUCCUUAAGAAUCUCUCCAAAAUAUUUAGGCUGAAAGUGCUUUGAGGUCCCAAGUUUAUAGCACACACUGAGACCUUUUUUAAAAAAUGUACUUUCAUCUUAGUUUUUAUAUUAAAAAAUCUUCUAAUCCCAUAACCCACCACCUAGAUGCAGCAUGUUUAUUGAGGUUGUUUGCUGUGCUUUACAUGUGCUUGUUAAGAUUGCAGUGAAAUGGCUGUAAGUGGUGGCUGCUUGUCUUGUAGAGGAAGAGCAUUCCUCUGGCCUCAUCAGUGGGGGCCACAGAUUUUGUCAUUUUAAUAAUAAUCUCAAUGAUAUCAUUUUAAUAAUUUUAUCGUUGCAAAUAAUGAUUUUAUUCACCCUGCCUUGGGCCCUCCAUGACCUGGCCCUUGCCUCCAGUGGUCCCUGCCUCCAUGACUGGGUUUCUGCCUCACUGACACUACCUGGUGCUCUGGCACAACAGGUAGCGUCUUCACCACCCCCUCCCCAUUCAAAGUCACCAUGGCCCCCUUUGCCUGUAGAUUGAGGUGAGGUCUGAGAUCCUCCACAGUGUUCUUGGCACUUCUGCCACACCGGGCCCAACCCCUUACCAGUGCUCCCUCCCUCUUGCACGCUAAGAAACCUUUGCUCCAGCCAGACAUGUCUCCUCAUUAUCCUUCCAAUAUCUGUAUCUGCAGCUUUCUCCCUUAGAAACCUCCUUAUUUCCACAGCUUCAACUCCCUGACCCCACCCUAUUCUUUGUUUCCAGACCUCAGCUACAGCUCUAAUUUCAAACUGCCUAUUAGCAUCUCUUUCUGUGAGCCCUGCCAGAAACUCAAACUCAACAUGGCUAGAGCAUGCCUUUAUUUUCUUUCCCCAAAUUGUCUUCCUCUCUCCUCUCCACAUUUCUGUCAGGGGGUCCCACGAUUCUCCCUGACAGCCAAGUUGGAAAUCUCAGAGUCUGAUUAGCUUUUCCUUUUCUUUUGCCAUCGCAUCUAGUGAGUUACCACAUUCUAUCAGUUCAUUCUAAUGAUAGCUAUUGGUAUUGUAUUAGUCCAUUUUCAUACUGCUGUGAAGAAUUAUCUGAGACUGGAUAAUUUAUAAAGAAAAAGAAGUUUAAUCUACUCACAGUUCCACAUGACUAGGGAGGCCUGACAUCCAGGCAGAAGUGAAGGAGGAGCAAAGGCAUGUCUUACAUGGCAGCAGGCAAGAGAGCAUAUGCAGGGGAGCAAAGGUCACCUGUCUUGCCUUUUAUAAAACCAUCAGAUCUCUUGAGACUUAUUCACUAUCAUGAGAAUAGCAUGGGGAAAAACCCAUCCCCAUGAUUUAAUAACGUCCCACCAGGUCCCUCCCACAAUAUGUGGGGAUUAUAGGAGCUACAAUUCAAGAUGAGGUUUGGGUGGGAACACAGCCAAACCAUAUCAGGUAUUGACUUAUUAUAGACCCACUAUGUGUCAGGUGGCUUUAAUUUUAUAGUAAGUCCUCACUUAAUGUCAUUCAUAGUUUCUUAGAAACUGUGACUGUGAAACAAAGUAUAACAAAAUGAAUUAUUUUUCUUAUCAAGCUUGUAAGGAAAGAAAGAUGAAUGUGAGACAUUAUUCAAGGACUGGCUGUGCACUGCUUUUGCUUAAAGGCAUAGCUUCUAAGAACCCAUCGAUGACAUUGAGGAUUUAGUGCAUUGGUUCACAAUCUUCAAAGUUGUAAGCCUGUAUAUUGCUUAGGGUACAAGUGAAGCUGGGGUAAUACAGGGACCCAGGUAUUCAGCGGCCUAAAUUAAGCAGGUGUUUAUUCUUCUCUUCUCUAAUAGUCCAGAGGCAAUUGUUCAGGGAGAGCAGGACUCUUGUCCUUUUAGGGCAGCUAGGAACCCAGGAUAGUAGGUCAGUCUGUUGUCUGCAUUGUGUCUUUUUGAAACCACUCCAGUUGUUUCUAUUUCCCAGCCUGCAGAAAUAAUUAGGCAAGGAAAUUAACAAGUAGCCAAGCCUAUCUUUGGGAGUGACCUGAAAGUCGCAUACAUCACUUUGACAUUGUGUUACCCUGGUCUGAACUUAGUCUCAUGACCACAUCUAGCUUCAAGCAAAGCUGGAAAAUGUAGCCUCUAGCUGGUGGCCAUGUGCACCCAAAUGGUGAUAGGGAUUCUGUUAUAAAAGGGAAGAAAAGGAGAAUGAAUAUUGGUGGGUAUUUUUGUCUUCACUUUAAAGAUGAGGAAAUCGAGGCUUAGAGAAUUUAAGUGACUUGUCCCAAGGUCCCAGACCUUGUUAGAACUAGCAUGCAGCCUCACUUCAAGAUUUUCUAUUGGCCUACAGGGUCUCCUUAUAAAUAGCAUAGGUAUGACCAGUAAUAAGUGAUAUCAGAACUCAGAGAGAAAGUUUACCAUAAGUCCAAGCUAUCUAGGUAGAUUUUACUACAGAAGGAGAGGAAGGAUAGGGUUCAGCUAGGUAUAAAAGAGGAGAAAGAAAUGUGGCUAUUUAUUCUCAGCAGGUGGGUCCCUUCACCUCAAAUUAGCAAACACUCCUCAGGUGCCUGGUCUGUGAAAGGUCAUGUGUAAGAGAGGAUACAAUGAUAAAAUAUGAGCAGGAUCCUGCUUGAAACCCUUCAGCGUCCGAUCCAAGAUGGCUGAUUAUUAAGAUCUUGGGAUUGCAGCUCCCAGUGAAAGCACAGAGAAUGAGAGGAUGCCACACUUUCAGACAAAUUUUUGUCGCUCACGGACCAGAAUAUUCCCAGUGGAGGAGCCCCAGGGAUCGCCAGCACGACUCUUGUGGCUGGCGCAGUGGUUUUGCCGGCACCUUGGUGCAGCAGCUCUUGGUGCAGAGUAAACAGGACUGGUUCCCCUUCUGACCUACGUUUGGAGCUCCAGGAAGGCAGAGUCGCCUAUUACGGACUCAAGAAGGAAGCCAGACUGGAGAUUCCUGGGCAGAAAAGCACCAUCAGUCUUAACACCGCUAUUUUGGCCGGCGCAGUGGGUUGCUCAGAUUUCGGCCCUGGGAAUUAACAACUUGGAUGUCCACUCAGAGACCUGAUUUGAAAGUUGGUAAUUACAAAGAUGACAGGUGAAUAAAUUUACAAUAAUGGGAAGAAACCAGCGUAAAAAGGCUGAGAAUACUCAAAAUCAGAAUGCCUCUCUAAAGAGGAUCACAGUUCCUCAUCAACAAGGGAACAAGGCUUGAUAGAGAAUGAGUGCAUUCCAUUAACAGAAUCAGGCUUCAGAAGGUGGAUAAUAAGAAACUUCUGUGAGUUAAAAGAACAUGUUGUAGCCCAAUGUAAAGAAACUAAGAACUUUGAAAAACAGGUUUGAUGAAAUCCUAAUGAGAAUAGAUAAUUUAGAGAGGAAUAUAAGCGAAUUAAUGGAACUGAAGAAUACAAUAUGGGAACUCCAAGAAGUAUGCACAGGUUUAAACACUCGAAUUGUUCAAGCAGAAGAAAGGAUAUCAGAGCUGGAAGACCAAUUUAAUGAAAUAAAACAAGACAAGAAUAGAGAAAAAAGGAUAAAAAGGAAUGAGCAAAGUCUCCAAGAAAUAUGGGACUAUGUGAAAAGACCUAACUUACGUUUGAUAGGUGUACCUGAAUGCGACUGAGAGAAUGAAUCCAAGCUGGAAAAUACUCUUCAGGAUAUUAUUCAGGAAAACUUCCCCAACCUGGCAAAGCAGGACAGUAUUCAACCCCAGGUAAUACAGAGAACACCACAAAGAUAUUCUUCAAGAAGAGCAACCCCAAGGCACAUAAUCGUUAGAUUCACCAGGGUUGAAAUGAAGGAGAAAAUACUAAGGGCAGCGAGAGAGAAAGGUCAGGUUACCCACAAAGGGAAGCCUAUCAGACUUAUAGCAGAUCUCUCAGCAGAAACUCUACAAGCCAGAAGAGAGUGGGGCCAAUAUUCAACGUCCUUAAAGAACAGAACUUUCAGCCCAGAGUUUCAUAUCCAGCCAAACUAAGCUUCACAACUGAAGGAAAAAUAAAAUCUUUUAUGAACAAGCAAGUACUCAGAGAUUUUAUUACCACCAGGACUGCUUUACAAGAGAUUCUGAAAGAAGCAUUACACAUAGAAAGAAACAACCAGUAUUAGCCUUUCUAAAAAUAUACCAAAAAGUAAAGAGCAUCAACAUAAAGAAGAAUUUACAUCAAUGAAUGGAUAAAACAGCCAGUUAACAUCAAAUGGCAGUAACCCUAAAUUUAAAUCGACUAAAUUCCCCAAUCAAAAGAUACAGCCAAAACUUAACAGUAUGCUACAUCCAGACCCAUUUCACAUGCAAAGAUACACAAAGACUCAAAACAAAGGGAUGGAGAAAGAUUUACCAACUAAAUGGAGAGCAAAAAGAAAGAAAGAAAGAAAUAAAAAGCAGGAGUUGCAAUUCUCGCAUCUGAUAAAAUAGAUUUUAAAGCAACAAAGAUAUAGUGGUAAAAGGAUCGAUGCAACAAUAAGAGCUAAGGAUCCUAACACCCAGAUACAUAAGACCUAUAAAGAGAUUUAGAAUCAACAAGACAGAAAAUUAAUAAGGAUAUCCAGGACUUGAAGUCAGAUCUGGAACAAGUAAACUUAAUAAAUAUUUAUAGAGCUCUCUACUUUAAAUAUACAAAAUACACAUUCUUGUCAAUACCACAUCACACCUACUCAUAGGUUUAAAUAAAAUAUUGAUCAGCCAUUAUUAAUACCCAUUUUUAGAAUAAAGCAACAUUUCCAUUCUCUCUCUCUUUUUCUUCCUCUUUCUUCCUCUCCUUCACUCCUUUUUUUUCUUUCCUUCUCUCCUUUAAAAAAAAAAAAAAAGAAACCCUUCAGUGUCCACAAUAUCUUCAGACUGUAACCCAAGUGUCUUCACUCUGCUGUGGGAUCUCCAUGACCUGGCCUUUGCCUCUUUUGGUCCCUGCCUCCAUGACCUAGGCUCUGCCUCUCUCCAGACUUUUCUCUCUCUGUGUUCCUUCUCUUUCACUGACUUGCUGUGGUUGGCCUGGGUACCUCUGGGCUUGGGUGCAUACCUGGAAUGGUUUUUCUCCACCACCUUCUAGGAAAUGGCUGUUUGUACUUAAUGACAACUUGGUGGUUUCUUCUCCUUGUUAGGUUAGAAGAUUCUUCUAGGUUCCCAGGGUUGCAUUCCUCUAUCAUAGUACUUAGACAAUUAUUAUGCAUGAAAUACUUGUAAGCUUGGUUUCCCUGGUAGCAUACGCACUCCAUGAAGAAGGUCCACAGCUUUCAUCUCAGUGCCUCCAGCAUAUAACAUAACAUAAGAAAAAAUACUAGUGUUCCUUAAGACUGCAAAUGCCUUGAGGGUUAGUCCAUGAUAGUUUUAUUCAUUCCUCCUUUCAUUCAAUGGACACAGACAUAACUCUCAUACUAUGCAGAUCAGACUCAAUGCUUUGGCUGGUCAUAUUAGUUUGCUAGGGUUGCUGUAAUAAAGAACCACAGACUGGGUGGCUUCAACAAUGGAAAUUUAUUUUCUCAUAAUUCUGGAGUCUGGAAGUCUGAGAGCAAGGUGUUGGCGAGGUGGUUUCUUUGGGAGUCUCUCUUAUUGGCUUGUAGAUGGCUGUCUUCUCCCUGUGUCUUCACAGAGUCUUCCAACUGUGAGUGUCUGGGUCUUAAUCUCCACUUAUAAAAUCACCAGACAGAUGGGAUUAAAACCCAUUUAAUGACCUCAUUUACCUUAAUUACUUUUUUUUUUUUGAGUUGGAGUUUCGCUCUUGUCCAGGCUGGAGUACAAUGGGGUGAUCUCUGCUCACUGCAACCUCUGCCUACUGGGUUCAAGCAAUUCUCCUGCCUCAGCCUCCCAAGUAGCUGGGAUUACCGACAUGCACCACCACACCCAGCCAAUUUUGUAUUUUUAGUAGAGAUGGGAUUUCUACAUGUUGGUCAGGCUUGUCUCAAACUCCCAACCUCAGGUGAUCUGCCUGCCUUGGCCUCUCAAAGUGCUGGGAUUAGGCCUGAGCCACUGUGCCCGGCACCCUUAGUUGCCUCUUUAAAGAAUCUAUCUCCAAAUAUAAUCACAUUCUGAGAUCCUGGUGGUUAGGUAUUCAACAUACGAAUUAUGGAAGAACACUAUUCAGUCAUAAUAUUGGCAUACAUUGUGUAGGGCAGAGAAGAGGGAAGGCUAGAAUAUGACCACGAAGGGUAAGGGAAGGUUCUUGGGGAUGUUUGCAGAAGUCCUCAGGACUGUGAGUUCCUCAAGAGAACAACUGUGGCUCAUUCCUCUCUGUAUUCCUCGUGCCUAAAGCAGAGUGUGGUUUGCAGAAGAUGCUCAUAAGAUAGCCCCAAAUAAACAAAGAAACCAAUGAAUGAAGCAGCAUUUGGUCUAACAAUGCUGCUAUUUGGCUGGCAUAACUGCUAGCAGGAUUACAGCUCUGUUUUAUUUGGGCUUUCUUCUUUCCUUCAGGGUCAGAGAGCAAGGCUCCACGUUUCUCAUUUGCCUCCAACAAUGGCCAUCAGGAUCAAAACUUUCCAACCCAAUUAAACAUUUGGGUGGUUGGGACCCACCCAAGGAAAACAAGCAUGUGCUCAAUCAAAUCUUUUAUUUGGAAAAUGUUUUUCAGCUGAGAGACCUGGGCCCCUUGUCAUGCCUGGCUCUUAGAUCCUGUUGUUAUAAGCCAGAGUGGAAAUUUAGGAAAAAAGAACAACUUAGAUUUAAGCAUGAUAAUCCCUCAAAGCUGUUAACUUCUUUACAGUUUUUACAGAAGGCUUUCACUUACGUGAUCUGCUUUGACCCUCACAACAACUCUGUGAAGUGGGUAACAGAAAGAAAAUGGGGUCGGAGGACCAGAUUUAGUUUCUGAUCCCCACUGUGCUACUUCCUGGUGGUGACCACUUGGGCACAUUGAUUUCCUUAAGAUCUGAUUUUCUUAUUUGUGCAGUGGCGACAAUAAUAUCAAUGUCUCUGCGUUGUUUUGAAGAUUAGUUGAUACCAGGUUUCAGAAAAAGCCUGCCAUGUUCUGGCCACUCAAAAAAUAGAGUAAAAGCUUAAACCAAGAAUUUGAAUCCUCAUCUUCCCUCACUCUCCCUUUUCCUUUGUAAAAUGAAAAGAAUAUAGUAACUACUUCAUAGAAUUGAGGCAAUUAAAUGAACAACACAUGUGCAUGCUAAGUGCUCAGGAAAGGUUAGUAGUCCCAGUUACGCGUUUCAAACUCAUAGCUUAAAUAAUCAUUCACUUACUAGCUUCCUUCUGUCUGUUUUGAACUUUAACCUUUGAUUUUGAAAAAAAUCUUGUCACUUUUUUUCAAAGUUGCAUGAUGCAUGGAAACCACAUCAGACUAGUCAUUAAAAGCCUGGGCUUGGGUGUUUUCUGACACUUUCUUGCUGUGAGACCUUAGGUAGGUCACUGAUCACUGCAGUAAGCAGAUUGGACCAGAUGAACACUCCCUACAACCCCCAAGAAUCGGUAUGGUUAGUCCACAAAUCUUUUGCCCAAGUCCAGAAAGAAUCCUUAGCACCUAAAGGGAAAAAUUAAUUGAAAUUUUUCUGAUUUACGUGUACUUAACCAAAUAAAACCCUACUUUCUAAGAGUCCUUUGAUGUUUAAGCUGCCUUAAGGAGUCUUUUUUUGUUUUAAGGGGCAUUUUAAAGCUUUUCUUCUUAGAAACAGGAAAUCAGAGUUUGGCAUGGGAAAAGAAAU
Long non-coding RNA from Callithrix jacchus (white-tufted-ear marmoset), 8803 nucleotides. RefSeq lists it as uncharacterized. The record is from RefSeq and is a predicted model, not a curated record. NCBI's taxonomy places the organism in Eukaryota, Metazoa, Chordata, Mammalia, Primates, Cebidae.